UACAGAGGUCUCAAGCGUUGUUCGGAUUCAUUGGGCGUAAAGGGUGCGUAGGUGGCGCCGUAAGUCAGGUGUGAAAUUUCGAGGCUUAACCUCGAAACUGCAUUUGAUACUGCGGUGCUUGAGGACUGGAGAGGAGACUGGAAUUCAUGGUGUAGCAGUGAAAUGCGUAGAGAUCAUGAGGAAGACCAGUGGCGAAGGCGAGUCUCUGGACAUUUCCUAACGCUGAGGCACGAAAGCCAGGGGAGCAAACGGG
RNAcentral lists this ribosomal RNA (253 nucleotides) under uncultured bacterium. RNAcentral's name for it is "partial 16S ribosomal RNA". It matches the Rfam family "Bacterial small subunit ribosomal RNA", at positions 524 to 776 of the family's 1533-position model. The record is from RNAcentral.